RNAcentral lists this ribosomal RNA (203 nucleotides) under uncultured bacterium. Its description in RNAcentral is "partial 16S ribosomal RNA". It matches the Rfam family "Bacterial small subunit ribosomal RNA", at positions 332 to 527 of the family's 1533-position model. The record is from RNAcentral.
AUUACUCCUACGGGAGGCAGCAGUGGGGAAUAUUGGACAAUGGGCGAAAGCCUGAUCCAGCCAUGCCGCGUGUGUGAAGAAGGUCUUCGGAUUGUAAAGCACUUUAAGUUGGGAGGAAGGGUACUUACCUAAUACGUGAGUAUUUUGACGUUACCGACAGAAUAAGCACCGGCUAACUCUGUGCCAGCAGCCGCGGUAAUAAU